AUUGAACGCUGGCGGCAUGCUUUACACAUGCAAGUCGAACGGUAACAGGCCUUCGGGUGCUGACGAGUGGCGCACGGGUGAGUAAUGCAUCGGAACGUGCCCAGAGGUGGGGGAUAACGCAGCGAAAGCUGUGCUAAUACCACAUGUGAUCUGAGGAUGAAAGCGGGGGACCAAGCAGCAAUGUUUGGCCUCGCGCCUCUGGAGCGGCCGAUGUCAGAUUAGGUAGUUGGUGGGGUAAAGGCCUACCAAGCCGACGAUCUGUAGCUGGUCUGAGAGGACGACCAGCCACACUGGGACUGAGACACGGCCCAGACUCCUACGGGAGGCAGCAGUGGGGAAUUUUGGACAAUGGGCGCAAGCCUGAUCCAGCAAUGCCGCGUGCGGGAAGAAGGCCUUCGGGUUGUAAACCGCUUUUGUACGGAACGAAAAGGCUCUGGCUAAUACCUGGGGCUGAUGACGGUACCGUAAUAAUAAGCACCGGCUAACUACGUG
RNAcentral lists this ribosomal RNA (492 nucleotides) under uncultured bacterium. RNAcentral describes it as "partial 16S ribosomal RNA". It matches the Rfam family "Bacterial small subunit ribosomal RNA", at positions 30 to 507 of the family's 1533-position model. The record is from RNAcentral.